GUGAAUUCCUACUGUAAGUCGCUCUGAAUAAGAGUGUCUGCUAAAUGACUAAAA
Molecule: non-coding RNA, 54 nt
Organism: Salmo salar (Atlantic salmon)
Lineage: Eukaryota; Metazoa; Chordata; Actinopteri; Salmoniformes; Salmonidae
Source: Rfam